Molecule: long non-coding RNA, 274 nt
Filed under: Salvia miltiorrhiza (redroot sage)
Lineage: Eukaryota; Viridiplantae; Streptophyta; Magnoliopsida; Lamiales; Lamiaceae
Description: long non-coding RNA (SMIL_LNC010981)
Source: RNAcentral
ACUUUCAUCAUCAAUUUCACACACCACUUAAUGAAGGAAAAGGGCCCCAAAGCAAUAAAAAUGUAAAAUUGUAACUCUCAAGAAUCGAACCUACAUCAACAAGAUUCCACAUAACUUGAAGAGAGCAUCUUUUCACUGAACUAGUUAAUAAAGUUAUUUAUUUUUCAAUUAUUUAAGUAUAUAUAAAUAUAUAGACCUAUAUAUAAUCGGGGGCCCUCAAUUUUUCGGGGCCCUGUGCGGUCGCCCACCCCGCACACCCUCAGAACCGCCACUG